RNAcentral lists this ribosomal RNA (644 nucleotides) under Diastobranchus capensis (basketwork eel). RNAcentral describes it as "partial 16S ribosomal RNA subunit". It matches the Rfam family "Bacterial large subunit ribosomal RNA", at positions 1796 to 2619 of the family's 2925-position model. Lineage: Eukaryota; Metazoa; Chordata; Actinopteri; Anguilliformes; Synaphobranchidae. The record is from RNAcentral.
UCGCCUGUUUAUCAAAAACAUCGCCUCUUGCCAACAAAUGAAGUAUUAGAGGUCCCGCCUGCCCUGUGACCAAAGUGUUUAACGGCCGCGGUAUCCUGACCGUGCGAAGGUAGCGUAAUCAUUUGUCUUUUAAAUGAAGACCAGUAUGAAUGGCAUCACGAGGGUUUAGCUGUCUCCUUCCCCCAGUCAAUGAAAUUGAUCUGCCCGUGCAGAAGCGGACAUAAAAACAUAAGACGAGAAGACCCUAUGGAGCUUUAGGCUAAAAGUCAAACAUGUACAAGAACCCGGAACAUUAACAAAUAAUAUAAAGGGCCCAAAUCUAACCAAAUGUAAAAUGACCUAUGUGCCUUCGGUUGGGGCGACCAUGGAGUAAAACGAAACCUCCACAUGGAAUGGGGAUAUCCCCUAAACCAAGAAAGACAAUUCUAAGUAACAGAACAUCUGACCAAAAAUGACCCAGGACCUAGUCCUGAUCAAUGAACCAAGUUACCCUAGGGAUAACAGCGCAAUCCUUUCCCAGAGUCCAUAUCGACGAAAGGGUUUACGACCUCGAUGUUGGAUCAGGACAUCCUAAUAGUGCAGCCGCUAUUAAGGGUUCGUUUGUUCAACGAUUAAUAGUCCUACGUGAUCUGAGUUCAGACCGG